RNAcentral lists this ribosomal RNA (169 nucleotides) under uncultured bacterium. Its description in RNAcentral is "partial 16S ribosomal RNA". It matches the Rfam family "Bacterial small subunit ribosomal RNA", at positions 338 to 524 of the family's 1533-position model. The record is from RNAcentral.
CCUACGGGAGGCAGCAGUGGGGAAUAUUGGACAAUGGGCGAAAGCCUGAUCCAGCAAUGCUGCGUGAGUGAUGAAGGCCUUAGGGUUGUAAAGCUCUUUUACCCGGGAUGAUAAUGACAGUACCGGGAGAAUAAGCCCCGGCUAACUCCGUGCCAGCAGCCGCGGUAAU